AGCUGGUCUGAGUGCAGUGGUGUUUACACCUAAUCGAUCACAACCAGUUAUAGAUUUCUUUGUUUCUUCUCCACUCCCACAGCUUCAAUUGACUAGUCUUAA
This is an unclassified non-coding RNA of Pan paniscus (pygmy chimpanzee), 102 nucleotides long. It matches the Rfam family "Y RNA". Rfam says of the family: Y RNAs are components of the Ro ribonucleoprotein particle (Ro RNP), in association with Ro60 and La proteins. The record is from Ensembl. Lineage: Eukaryota; Metazoa; Chordata; Mammalia; Primates; Hominidae.